This 497-nucleotide ribosomal RNA is filed under the name uncultured bacterium. RNAcentral's name for it is "partial 16S ribosomal RNA". It matches the Rfam family "Bacterial small subunit ribosomal RNA", at positions 28 to 507 of the family's 1533-position model. The record is from RNAcentral.
GAUGAACGCUGGCGGCGUGCCUAAUACAUGCAAGUCGAGCGAACAGACGAGGAGCUUGCUCCUCUGACGUUAGCGGCGGACGGGUGAGUAACACGUGGAUCAUCCCCCUAUAAUACGGGGAAAAUCUCGGGAAAGCGGAGCAUAUACCGGAUAAUAUACUGAACCGCAUGGGUGAAUAGAGAAAGACGGCUUUGCGGUCACUUCUCGAUGGAUACGCGCCGCAUUAGCUAGUAGGGACGGUCAAAGCCUUUCACGGCAACGAUGCGUAGCCGAGCUGUGUGGCUGAUCGGCCACCCUGGAACUGGGACACCCUCCAGACUCCUACGAGAGGGCGCAGUAGGGAAUCUUCCGCAGUGGGCGAGAGCCUGGCGGAGCGACGCCACGUGAGUGAUGGCAGUCUUCCGAUCGUAAUACUCUGUUAUUAGGGAAGAACAAAUGUCUAAUUAACUAUGCACGUCUUGACGGUACCUAAUCAGAAAGCCACGGCUAACUACGUG